RNAcentral lists this ribosomal RNA (498 nucleotides) under uncultured bacterium. RNAcentral describes it as "partial 16S ribosomal RNA". It matches the Rfam family "Bacterial small subunit ribosomal RNA", at positions 28 to 508 of the family's 1533-position model. The record is from RNAcentral.
GAUGAACGCUGGCGGCGUGCCUAAUACAUGCAAGUCGAGCGAGCAGACGAGGAGCUUGCUCCUCUGACGUUAGCGGCGGACGGGUGAGUAACACGUGGAUAACCUACCUAUAAGACUGGGAUAACUUCGGGAAACCGGAGCUAAUACCGGAUAAUAUAUUGAACCGCAUGGUUCAAUAGUGAAAGACGGUUUUGCUGUCACUUAUAGAUGGAUCCGCGCCGCAUUAGCUAGUUGGUAAGGUAACGGCUUACCAAGGCAACGAUGCGUAGCCGACCUGAGAGGGUGAUCGGCCACACUGGAACUGAGACACGGUCCAGACUCCUACGGGAGGCAGCAGUAGGGAAUCUUCCGCAAUGGGCGAAAGCCUGACGGAGCAACGCCGCGUGAGUGAUGAAGGUCUUCGGAUCGUAAAACUCUGUUAUUAGGGAAGAACAAAUGUGUAAGUAACUAUGCACGUCUUGACGGUACCUAAUCAGAAAGCCACGGCUAACUACGUGC